RNAcentral lists this ribosomal RNA (541 nucleotides) under uncultured bacterium. RNAcentral describes it as "partial 16S ribosomal RNA". It matches the Rfam family "Bacterial small subunit ribosomal RNA", at positions 355 to 888 of the family's 1533-position model. The record is from RNAcentral.
UGGGGAAUUUUGGACAAUGGGCGAAAGCCUGAUCCAGCAAUGCCGCGUGUGUGAAGAAGGCCUUCGGGUUGUAAAGCACUUUUGUCCGGAAAGAAAUCCUUGGCUCUAAUACAGUCGGGGGAUGACGGUACCGGAAGAAUAAGCACCGGCUAACUACGUGCCAGCAGCCGCGGUAAUACGUAGGGUGCAAGCGUUAAUCGGAAUUACUGGGCGUAAAGCGUGCGCAGGCGGUUUGCUAAGACCGAUGUGAAAUCCCCGGGCUCAACCUGGGAACUGCAUUGGUGACUGGCAGGCUAGAGUAUGGCAGAGGGGGGUAGAAUUCCACGUGUAGCAGUGAAAUGCGUAGAGAUGUGGAGGAAUACCGAUGGCGAAGGCAGCCCCCUGGGCCAAUACUGACGCUCAUGCACGAAAGCGUGGGGAGCAAACAGGAUUAGAUACCCUGGUAGUCCACGCCCUAAACGAUGGUCAACUAGUUGUUGGGGAUUCAUUUCCUUAGUAACGUAGCUAACGCGUGAAGUUGACCGCCUGGGGAGUACGGUCG